Molecule: transfer RNA, 70 nt
Filed under: Micromonospora fluostatini
Lineage: Bacteria; Bacillati; Actinomycetota; Actinomycetes; Micromonosporales; Micromonosporaceae
Description: tRNA-Lys
Rfam family: tRNA
About the family: Transfer RNA (tRNA) molecules are approximately 80 nucleotides in length. Their secondary structure includes four short double-helical elements and three loops (D, anti-codon, and T loops). Further hydrogen bonds mediate the characteristic L-shaped molecular structure. tRNAs have two regions of fundamental functional importance: the anti-codon, which is responsible for specific mRNA codon recognition, and the 3' end, to which the tRNAs corresponding amino acid is attached (by aminoacyl-tRNA synthetases). tRNAs cope with the degeneracy of the genetic code in two manners: having more than one tRNA (with a specific anti-codon) for a particular amino acid; and 'wobble' base-pairing, i.e. permitting non-standard base-pairing at the 3rd anti-codon position.
Source: RNAcentral
GCCGGUGUGCAGGGUGGGAGUUCUUCGCCUCUUAAGCGGGUUGUUGCUGGUUCGAGUCCAGUCACCGGCC